Molecule: ribosomal RNA, 492 nt
Filed under: uncultured bacterium
Lineage: Bacteria
Description: partial 16S ribosomal RNA
Rfam family: Bacterial small subunit ribosomal RNA
Source: RNAcentral
GGUGAACGCUGGCGGUAGGCCUAACACAUGCAAGUCGAACGGCAGCACAGUAAGAGCUUGCUCUUACGGGUGGCGAGUGGCGGACGGGUGAGGAAUACAUCGGAAUCUACUUUUUCGUGGGGGAUAACGUAGGGAAACUUACGCUAAUACCGCAUACGACCUACGGGUGAAAGCAGGGGAUCUUCGGACCUUGCGCGAUUGAAUGAGCCGAUGUCGGAUUAGCUGGUUGGCGGGGUAAAGGCCCACCAAGGCGACGAUCCGUAGCUGGUCUGAGAGGAUGAUCAGCCACACUGGAACUGAGACACGGUCCAGACUCCUACGGGAGGCAGCAGUGGGGAAUAUUGGACAAUGGGCGCAAGCCUGAUCCAGCCAUACCGCGUGGGUGAAGAAGGCCUUCGGGUUGUAAAGCCCUUUCGUUGGGAAAGAAAAGCAGCAGGUUAAUACCCCGCUGUUCUGACGGUACCCAAAGAAUAAGCACCGGCUAACUUCGUG